RNAcentral lists this ribosomal RNA (449 nucleotides) under uncultured bacterium. RNAcentral's name for it is "bacterial SSU rRNA". It matches the Rfam family "Bacterial small subunit ribosomal RNA", at positions 329 to 793 of the family's 1533-position model. The record is from RNAcentral.
AACCAGACUCCUACGGGAGGCAGCAGUGGGGAAUAUUGGGCAAUGGAGGGAACUCUGACCCAGCAACGCCGCGUGAAGGAUGAAGGUUUUCGGAUUGUAAACUUCUGUCGCGAGGGAUGAAGAAUGACGGUACCUCGUAAGAAAGCCCCGGCAAACUACGUGCCAGCAGCCGCGGUAAUACGUAGGGGGCGAGCGUUAUCCGGAUUUACUGGGUGUAAAGGGUGCGUAGGUGGCAUGGCAAGUCAGAAGUGAAAGCCCGGGGCUCAACCCCGCGGACUGCUUUUGAAACUGUCAGGCUGGAGUACAGGAGAGGUAAGCGGAAUUCCUAGUGUAGCGGUGAAAUGCGUAGAUAUUAGGAGGAACACCAGUGGCGAAGGCGGCUUACUGGACUGUAACUGACACUGAGGCACGAAAGCGUGGGGAGCAAACAGGAUUAGAUACCCCCGUAC